CUGGAGCCCACUCCUUCAGCUUGCAGGGAGGUGUGGAGGGAGAGGCGCGAGCGGGAACCGGGGCUGCGUGCGGCACUUGCGGGCCAGCUGGAGUUCGGGGUGGGCGUGGGCUUGGCGGGCCCAGCACUCGCAGCAGCCGGCCAGCCCUGCUGGCCCCGGGCAGUGAGGGACUUAGCACCCGGGCCAGCGGCUGCGGAGGAUGUACUGGGUCCCCCAGCAGUGCCAGCCCACCGGCGCUGCGCUCGAUUUCUCACCGAGCCUUAGCUGCCUUCCCGCGGGGCAGGGCUCGGGACCUGCAGCCCGCCAUGCCUGAGCCUCCUACCCACUCCAAGGGCUCCUGUGCGGCCGGAGCCUCCCCGUACUAGCCCACCAGGAGGAACGAACAACUCCAGAGAUGCUGCCUUAAGAGCUGUAACACUCACGGCAAAGUUCUGCAGCUUCACUCCUGAGCCAGCGAGACCACGAACCCACCAGAAGGAAGAAACUCCGAACACAUCAGAAUAUCAGAAGGAACAAACUCCAGACGCGCCACCUUAAGAGCUGUAACACUCACCGCAAGGGUCCACGGCUUCAUUCUUGAAGUCAGUGAGACCAAGAACCCACCAAUUCCGGACACAGUGUCAGGCGCCUGUAGUCCCAGCUCCUCGGGAGGCUGAGGCAGGAGAAUGGCGUCAACCUGGGAGGCGGAGCUUGCAGUGAGCCGAGAUCACGCCACUGCACUCCAGCCUGGGCGACUGAGCAAGACUCCGUCUCAAAAGAACAGCAACAACAACAACAACAACAAACCAUAGUCCUUUGUCAGUCUUUAGUCUACUACUUCUGACCUAUUAACAGCUCCUGGCCUUCCAUUUCUAGUUAUCCCAGAAGGACAUACUGGAACACCUUGCAGGUUACACACUUUGAUGGCACUAACUGCAUGUUAGAAUUGUGUGGCAAAGAACUGAAGGCAUCAGUCCAAAAGCCCAAAGAACUAAAUACCGCCAACAACCCCAUGAACUUGGAAGUGGGUCCUUUCCCAGUGAGCUCUGGAGAUGACAAAAGACAGACAACACCUUGAUUGUAGUCUGUGAGAAAACCUGAAGCAGAAGACCCAGCUAACUUGUGCUCAGAUUCCUGACCAAUACAAAUUGUGAGACAAAUGUGUAAUUUUUUAAGCCAAGUUUUUGAUAAUGUAAUAUGAAGUGAUAGAUAACUAAUACAAAAUAGAGAACUGGAUACAUAUGUUCACGAGCUAUUCUGGCAUAAAAAUACAUUCAAUAAAAAACUUGUUGCUACUCUGUAUUUCCCUCAUCUCAUUGACAUCAUCCUAUCCUUUAUCUUUCAUAUAAAUAUCUGUGUAAAAUUUGUCAACAAAUGGUGUGAAAAUGAAGAGAAAGCAGAACAGUAGAAAUAAAAGAGGACUUGUUUA
RNAcentral lists this long non-coding RNA (1408 nucleotides) under Homo sapiens (human). Its description in RNAcentral is "HSALNT0192416". The record is from RNAcentral. Lineage: Eukaryota; Metazoa; Chordata; Mammalia; Primates; Hominidae.